RNAcentral lists this ribosomal RNA (460 nucleotides) under uncultured bacterium. RNAcentral's name for it is "partial 16S ribosomal RNA". It matches the Rfam family "Bacterial small subunit ribosomal RNA", at positions 338 to 795 of the family's 1533-position model. The record is from RNAcentral.
CCUACGGGAGGCAGCAGUGAGGAAUAUUGGUCAAUGGGCGCAAGCCUGAACCAGCCAAGCCGCGUGAAGGAUGACGGCCCUACGGGUUGUAAACUUCUUUUAUAAAGGAGUAAAGUGAGGCACGUGUCCCUUUUUGUAUGUACUUUAUGAAUAAGCAUCGGCUAACUCCGUGCCAGCAGCCGCGGUAAUACGGAGGAUCCGAGCGUUAUCCGGAUUUGUUGGGUUUAAAGGGAGCGUAGAUGGGUUGUUAAGUCAGUUGUGAAAGUUCGCGGCUCAACCGUAAAAUUGCAAUUGAUACUGGCAGUCUUGAGUACAGUUGAGGUAGGCGGAAUUCGUGGUGUAGCGGUGAAAUGCUUAGAUAUCACGAAGAACCCCGAUUGCGAAGGCAGCUGACUAAACUGCCACUGACAGUGAGGCGCGAAAGCGUGGGUAUCAAACAGGAUUAGAUACCCCAGUAGUC